This 1165-nucleotide long non-coding RNA is filed under the name Cicer arietinum (chickpea). RNAcentral's name for it is "long non-coding RNA (CARI_LNC003256)". The record is from RNAcentral. Lineage: Eukaryota; Viridiplantae; Streptophyta; Magnoliopsida; Fabales; Fabaceae.
GUGGAAGUUUAAUCAGAGGAUUUUUUAUAGCUUUUUUGCUAUCGGAGGUUGGGGCUGCUUGUCAUGAAAAUGAUUCCUGGUUUAAAUGCCAUAUUGGGUACUACCAGCAUGCGGUAUACUAAGGGUUGUUCGAAGAUCUCAUUUACGGGAAUUCAAGCCUGCCAUGAAGGAGAAUCGAUCGACUAUCACCAGCUGUCAUGACCCGACUAGGUCGAAGGUAGCCCAAAGACUAAAUCGUUAGAGAUGCCUUACCAAGGUAAGGUCUAUUCGGUAUGGGUACGGGCUUCUAUUAUACAUUCCUCUUUCGACCUUUUUUCUUUCUGCCAAAGAAAAGACAAGAGGGCUAAACAAAUCUUUCAACGUCUCAGCCCAAUAGUCUAUAGUUUGUAGCUACCAAUUGGUACGUUUUGUCUUAGCUCCCUGCUUCGCCCUAAAACGCCUUCAUUUCAAUAGGAAAAACCUAUAGGUAUGAAGGUUUCAAAAAAAUCAAUAUAAUAUAUAAAGUUAUCCAUUCUAAUCUACUGUAAAAGUCCACUGGCUACUCCCUUACCGCUCAUAUGGCUUUCCACCCAUCUCUCCUCUUUUUUACUUAUAUUUUAUAAUAUAAGCAUCAUAAAUAUCUAUGUUGGAACUGGAUUCUCUAAAGCUUCAAUAGAAGUAUCCCGAGGGGGAGGUCGCAAGAGCCUUUAUCUAAUCGACUAUUGAACCAUCUCACCUAAAAGUAACUCGCUACCUUAACUAAAGGCAUGCCUUUAGUCCAACAGCUAACUCAAUAGGACUUGCUUUCCUAAAUAAAUUUCCCUUGGCCUUGAGAAUGCUUCAUCGCCUUGACUUGAUUCGGAUAAGUCUAAGUAAAAGUAAGGACUUUGCUUUUUCGGGGAAGAAUAGAGGGUCAGGGCAAUAGGUCAAGGUCGAUUGCCAAUCGAGUAAGCAAGCCUUAAGGCAAAGAAAGAUAUUCUAGCAGCUUAUCCCUUUCAUAACCUGAGGUAGUUAUGGCAUUUAAGUCAGGUUGUCUUGCUCUGAGUCUAAAAGCCCCUCCUUCUUGAAAUAGGAAUGCCCCUCUAGUUCUUCCAUUUAGUAAGUGGUUUAUUUUAAGGUCAGGUUGUAACCCGGACCGAAGGUGCUGACUACCAGUUACCGGAAGAGCAAUUAACGAGCGAACAUC